UAUAAUUUUGUGUACUGUGUCCAGUGUUUACAGAGAAAUACUGCACUGAAAACAGAAUAGAGAAGUUGCCCGGGCCACGAGACUGGGUCCAGAUCCUUCAAGAUCAGAUCAAACUUGCCAGGAGGAGGCUGAAAAGAGAUGCUGCAGAAGCAGAAGAAGUCUUAAAUGGGCCUUCCACAAGAUGUGACUAUAACAGGCCUGUCCGUGUGGAGGGGACGGUGGUGAACAUGACUGGUUGACUUCAAAGGUUG
RNAcentral lists this long non-coding RNA (251 nucleotides) under Sander lucioperca (pikeperch). Its description in RNAcentral is "lncRNA (ENSSLUG00000008751.1)". The record is from RNAcentral. Lineage: Eukaryota; Metazoa; Chordata; Actinopteri; Perciformes; Percidae.